AUGGCAGAUCCCGCACCCGGUAGCGCGGGGAGAAGCGGCGAGCCCCCCCAACCCAGAUCAGAGGAACCGGUAGAAUCUCCGGUGGACCGCAUCAGCGAUCUCCCGGACGUCAUCCUUGAGGAGAUCAUCUCGCUUCUCCCCACCAAGGAUUGCUGCCGCACACAAGUCCUCUCAACUCGGUGGCGUCCUCUAUGGCACACCACGCCCCUCAAUCUCUACUAUCGUCAGAUAUAUGUCCUUCCUGAAUUUGAUCUCAUCAGAGCCAUCGUCUCUUCUCACUAG
RNAcentral lists this ribosomal RNA (282 nucleotides) under Triticum aestivum (bread wheat). Its description in RNAcentral is "partial small subunit ribosomal RNA". The record is from RNAcentral. Lineage: Eukaryota; Viridiplantae; Streptophyta; Magnoliopsida; Poales; Poaceae.